UGGAUGGGUGGAUGGAUGGAUGGAUGGAUGGAUGGAUGGAAGAGAGAGAAAGAUACAUAGCAACCUGGGUAUAUGUUCAGAUAAGUGGAUGGACAGAUGGAUGGAUGGAUGGACAGAUGGAAGGAUGCAUGGAUGGAAGAAAGAAGGAUGUAUAGCAACCUGGGUAUAUGUUCAGAUAAGUGAAUGCAGAGAUGGAUGGAUGGAUGGAUGGAAGGAAGAGAGAAGAAUGGAUAGUACCCUUGGCAUAUGUUCAGAUAAGUGGAUGAACAGAUGGACAGAUGGAUGGAUGGAUGGAUGGAUGCAUGGAAGAGAGAAGAAUGGAUAGUAAGCUGGGUAUAUGUUCAGAUAAGUGGAUGGACAGACAGAUGAACAGAUGGAUGGAUGGUGGAUGGGUUAGUGAGAAGGUAGGUGGCCAUACACACAAAUGACAACUUUGAGAGCACAUGUUUGACUUAAAUCUUAGGGUCAUCACGUUCCCAGGAGACAAGCAGGUGGUGCGUUACUCCUCACCUUCUGUUCCCAGCAGCCCAAACUUCCUGUUUCCACCACUUUCCCUAAUCAAUUCAGACACUCAGGGAAUGAGGGGGUCAAAAUCUGAGUCAGCAGGAGGUCAGCCAACCUGGCCAGCGGUAUGGAUGCCCGAGGCAGCCCACUUGUGGGUGGUGACUUGAACCUACACAGGCCAUGGGGUAGGAAUUUGGGCAGUUACGUGGAUAAUUGGGAUAAAAACAACUCCACUCAAGAACCCGGAGGACUCGGGCCUCAUGGGCUCUGGUGGGACAUGAUCCUCAGUUCACUCCCCUCCCCAUCCCUGUGCAGGUCCUGACCCAGGGAGCCCCUCCCAUGCAGAGGGCAACGCUGAGCCGGCCCUGGGUACAGAUAGGUCUAAUCAUCCCUGUCUUCCCCCCCAGGGGAACCACAGCCCAUCUUUCCUCCAACACAAACCAACCACAUCCCUGGAUGGAACUCAGACAAACCACUUUCUAUUGACUUCAAUUUGCAUUUUAAAUAGGCUAAAUGGCUCUGGAAAGAAAGCAGAAGUUCAUUAGUGUUGUGAAAUGCCAUUUCCAUCAACUCCUUGCAUGGGAAUCCUAAUUACAGCUCCCUGGGGAGCAGUGGCAGGACCCAGGCCCACCGAGCCAGCAGCUGGAGCAGAAGUGAGCGGAGAGCAGCCUUGGCUUCCUGGGCCCUGGCUGGGAGAGCGGGGCUGCCUGGGAAAAGGAGCCCCCUCCUCCAACUCAGAGGCCCCUGGACCCUGACCUUGGCCGGCCAGCGGCCUGACCAGCAGCCGUGUCAGCAGCAUUGCCCCGGGAGCAGGGGCUCUCAGUCCUGGUGCGCUCUGGAACCCAAGGAGCCUGAGACAAUCUUGUGCCUGGAGACCCCCCCACCAAGAGAUGCAGACAACACAUCAGGAAAGGAUCAUGUUUUCAACAGAUGAGGCUGUAGCCAUUGCAGGUCCGCAAGCAAAACAGUGAGCUCCACCUACACCUCCCGCCUCACACAAAAACUACCUCAGCAUGUAUCGGGGACCUACGUGUAAAACGUAAAAUUAUAAACAUUUUAGAAGCAACAUUGGAGAAAGCUUUGUGACUUUGGGUUAGGCAAUGACAAAAGCACAAUUCUUAAAAAAAAAAUCUAUAAACUUGACUUCAUCAAAAUUAAACCCUUUUGCUCUGCAGAAGACAGAGUUUAGAGAAUGAUCAGACCAGCCACCGGCUGGCAAGGAAUAUUUGCAAUUCAUAUAUCUGACCAAAGUCCUGUAUCUGGAAUAUGUAAAUAACUCUGAAAGCUCAACCGUAACAAAGCAAAGGACACAAUAUUUUUUAAAUGAGGAAAAAUGUACACAGACAUUUUCCCAAAUAAAAUAUACGAGUGACAGAUAAGCCCAUAAAACAAUGGACAAUGUCGAGAAUUAUUAAGAAAAUGCAAAUUAAAGUCAUGAUGAGGUCACAGCACACACCUAUUGGGAUGCGAAAAUUAACAAAAAAAGGAAAGCAAAGAAAGAAGGAAAUGACAGCAGGUGCUGCUGAGGCUGCCGAGCAAGCUGCGCUCACAGUGGACGGUGCAGCCACUUCAUUAUGGAAACAGGGUGGCUGCUGCUCCAGCUAAACACUCCACACACUCAGCAUGUGAGUCCGCAGCCCCACCCCAGGGACCCACUCACGUGGAGUGAAAACCUACCUCCACACAAAAAAAUGUAGGUUAAAGUUCCUAGUGGCUUUAUUUGUAAUUGCAAAAACCGGAAACAACGCAAACACCCCCAUCAGUGAGCACAGAACGAGCCGCCAUGCAUAGGUGCAGUGGACGCCGCUCAGCAGGGAGACGGGCAGGGCAGGCCGUGGGUGCGCACAGCCGCCCGGGCGACUCUCCAUGACCCGCGCUGAGGGCCGG
This 2391-nucleotide long non-coding RNA is filed under the name Homo sapiens (human). Its description in RNAcentral is "HSALNT0197652". The record is from RNAcentral. Lineage: Eukaryota; Metazoa; Chordata; Mammalia; Primates; Hominidae.